UACGUAGGGGGCAAGCGUUGUCCGGAAUUAUUGGGCGUAAAGCGCGCGCAGGCGGUACUUUAAGUCUGGUGUUUAAGCCCGAGGCUCAACCUCGGUUCGCACUGGAAACUGGAGUACUUGAGUGCAGGAGAGGAAAGCGGAAUUCCACGUGUAGCGGUGAAAUGCGUAGAGAUGUGGAGGAACACCAGUGGCGAAGGCGGCUUUCUGGACUGUAACUGACGCUGAGGCGCGAAAGCGUGGGGAGCAAACAGG
RNAcentral lists this ribosomal RNA (252 nucleotides) under uncultured bacterium. RNAcentral's name for it is "partial 16S ribosomal RNA". It matches the Rfam family "Bacterial small subunit ribosomal RNA", at positions 524 to 776 of the family's 1533-position model. RNAcentral also lists the same sequence under 1 other name. The record is from RNAcentral.